RNAcentral lists this long non-coding RNA (3297 nucleotides) under Equus caballus (horse). RNAcentral's name for it is "lncRNA (ENSECAG00000056303.1)". Lineage: Eukaryota; Metazoa; Chordata; Mammalia; Perissodactyla; Equidae. The record is from RNAcentral.
CAGCAACUUGUAUCCCCUGGCAGUUGACAUGCUAAUUUCUUCGCCUGCUCUCUCUCCCGCUCACUCCACCCCGCUUCACCAACCCCCUUCCACUCAAGACACGAGGCACCCCCUGGGCCACGGAUGGUGCCUUGCGGGGAGUGAAGAGACGCCGGAAGAGCUAGGGCAGAGCGCGCGGUGCCCACACCUUUGGCCGCGGGGUGAGUGCGGGAGGCCGCCGCUGGCCUGGGAAGAGGGGAGCGGGUUAGGAGCGCGGGGUCGGAGCGGAACCCCUGCACCCCCCCUCCUCCCAGGACUAGGGAUCUGCCGCUAGAGGCGGGGGCCCAAAGCCCCCCGCUGGGCCCGGGCGAGGAUGGGCGGGCAGGAGGCGGAGCGCAGCGCGGCGCUGCGCUGGGCGGCGGGAAAGGGGCGGGGAGGACAGCUCAGGCUUAAGCGGGCAGAGGGACGGUGGCAGAACCUGCGGGCUAGGUGGGAGGCUCACCCACAGGGAGGAAGGGAAGCGAGGACCGCCGCUGCUGAGGAGCGAGGAGACGCUUGGAGUCCAGGGGUCAGGCCGCUGCCACCUCCUCCUGCAGCGGAGACAGCACAGCCAGCGGGCGCACUGGCCGCAACGGCAACCCUCCGCGCAGGUGGGCACCCCCGAGCGCGGCGCUCUGCCCCUUCUCGGACCGCCGCGGGCCGGAUGCCCUCCUUUCCAGGCCACUGAGUUCGGGGGCGAGGGCUGGGCAGGUCUGGGGGUAGGAGGAAUGUGCACGGCUCCUUGGUGUGCACGCUUGUGCGCGCGCGCUGUGCUAGGUGGGGAAGAGGUGCGGGAAAGCAGCCUCCCUCAGGAUUUACUCCCUCGGGUCUCGCUGUCCCCACCCCCACUCUCUUCUGACCAGCAGAGCUCUCGAGCGGCUUUAGAGAACUGCGACCCCCUCCCUCGUCCGCAAUCUCGGUGGUGUGUGCACUUCGCCCCCCUCUUCACAAUCCACACCCAGCAACCAUCAGGACGCCCCCUGCUCUGUAGGAACCUUGGGAGAAGAGAGAGUGGUGGCAAGACCAGCCAGGGUGUGUUCGGGGAAGGCAGGAGUUGCUGGAGUAUUGUCUGCCGGGGACGGUGCCUGAGCCCGCGCGCUCCCUCGCGCUUUCAGGGCCAGAGUUGGGGGCGGGGGGCGGGCGCGGGGGGUUUGCUGAACUUAUCUCCGAAGGCUGACUGUGCACAUGCACUUGGCGACUUGUGCACGUUUGGACGAGGACUUAAUGGAGGCACGUGGGAGCAGGAUCGGUCGCUGGCGGGCCCCCAAAGAGCCUCUUGGCUCUUGGGAUGGCCCAGCGCGUGUUCUGGGGUGGGAAGGAAGGGAGAGUGUGCGUGUGUGUGAAUGUCCGUCCUAGGGAGGAGAAGGAGGAGAGUGGCUCGAGGAGACUUGAUUUUCUUGGAUUUGCUGCCAGUCCGUAAACCAAACCAGGCUUUCGAGGCGCUAAAGUAAAUUACCGGUGGCAGUGUAGAAGCCAAAACGGGAGCUUCCAGAAGUGGUUUCUGAAAAAUAAGAGUGAAUAUACAUGAGUAAGCAAGCACAAGAAUCUGAAAAACCACAGUCCUUUGUUGUACUUUGGAGGGGAGAGAGUCCCGGGUCAGCUCACCCCGCCAUUUUGCUCCCUGACCGGAAAUAGGAUACUAAUUGAGAUGCAUUUGCAGAUGGAGAAACUGAGUCCCCAAAGUGUUUCAGCAUCCUUGAAGUUAUACAGAGAACUAAAGUAGCAUAUGGCUUAUCUAGGAGGUAAAGAUAAGAACAGCUUCUGCUUGAUUGGUGCCCUCUUGAAGAGAAAUACUUGGUGAGUAUUGACCUUCUGAUUACAUCACUUAUGAUUUUUUAAAAAAUGUUAAACUUGCAUUGAAAAAAUACAUAUGUUGCUUUUAAAAUGGAAGCUUUCAGCAGCAUUUAGAUCUAUCCAUAUGUUAUGGUUUAGGCCAAAUUAAGCAGCCAAUUUCAGAUCUGCUUUUUGGAAAGCUUCAGUAUAAAUUCACUCAAAGUUUCUGUCAAAUCACAGCUUGUAGAAGCCAUUUCCAAAUGGCCUGUUAUUUGCUGGUUAAAUUAAGGAUGCUUCUCUGAGGAAGAGGUCACGUGCUCCUAAUUCGGGCCCACCAUCCUUCCCUGGUACUCUCUGUGCUGUGCCUGCCUUUAACCCACCUCUGAAGCAUCAUGCUUCCUGGGUCGGGACUGCUUCCUUUUUGGUGCCCCUCUGUUCCCAUGUACCUGGGCUCCUGGAGGGCACAGGACCUAGGGUCUCAGGGCCAAAUGGAGGACCCCACCAGGCAGGUCUGUCCUCCCACUCACCACUGGAGAGUCAGAGUGAGUAGGUCACCUGGCUAGAAAGCUCCCCUGGGUUUCCGAUCUGCAGCCAGGGUAGAGGAUUCUUGUUGUAAUGAGUGAAGGACUUGUUUCUUUGGAAAGAAACUCAGAAAGUGACAUGGAUGAUACCAACCUCUACACAAGAUCCAUGUUUGAGGUCAAAGGAGAAUAUGGGAGAUUUUCUCAUACUCUCUCAUGGGUCUUCAUUUGAUGAACACCUGUUGUGUGCCAGGCUCUGAAACAGUAUGGCCACAUUUAAUCCUUACUGUGAUACUGUGAGGAAGAUAUUAUUAGCCUUAUUUUAGAUAUGCGGCCAGAAGAUACUUGAGAGGCUUUCAAGUCAUUUGUCCAAGAUCACAGAACUAGUAAACAAUAAAGGAUAUGCAUUAUCCUCACUUUUCUGACUUCACCAUACCAUAUCAAGAAAAAAAUAACGAAAUGGAUGGCUGGUUUGAUAUUUCCUUUCUUACUUGUCUAUCAGUAUGAAUAAGAAAACAGCGAUUUUUCAAGGCAUAUAUUUUUAGUUUUGCAGAAUUUUUGUCUAAUGACGUUGUAUAUUUAUUCAAAAACAUUUUUUGAGGUCCCACUAUGUGCCAGAUUCUGUACUAGGCGCUCUGCAUACAGCAGUGAAUGUAUAUAAAAAUAAGUGUUAUUUUUAUCAAGUCCUAAGAUAAAACUGGAAGCUUUUUCUGUACAUAUUUCAUCUUGUCCUUUCUUAACUAUCAAGGCAUUGAAACAUAGAGCCCAAGAUUAAUGGUUGUCAUUUUUCCAUUGAUUCACAGAAUUACUGAACUAACAGGGUACUUCUGAGGUUACUUAGCCAGCUCCUGAAGUCUGGGGGAGAUGUGAACUAAACCAUUCUAUUAUUAAUAAUUUUCAAGGAGAGAGAUUCCAUUAAGCCUUUGUGGUAGCUGCUGUUUUAGACUCUUACACCCUGUUGUAAUGAUGAUAAAUUAUUUCUGCC